This 301-nucleotide ribosomal RNA is filed under the name uncultured bacterium. Its description in RNAcentral is "partial 16S ribosomal RNA". It matches the Rfam family "Bacterial small subunit ribosomal RNA", at positions 509 to 809 of the family's 1533-position model. The record is from RNAcentral.
CAGUCGCCACGGUAAUACGGAGGGUGCAAGCGUUAAUCGGAAUUACUGGGCGUAAAGCGCACGCAGGCGGUCUGACAAGUCAGAUGUGAAAUCCCCGGGCUUAACCUGGGAACUGCAUUUGAAACUGUCAGGCUGGAGUCUUGUAGAGGGGGGUGGAAUUCCAGGUGUAGCGGUGAAAUGCGUAGAGAUCUGGAGGAAUACCGGUGGCGAAGGCGGCCCCCUGGACAAAGACUGACGCUCAGGUGCGAAAGCGUGGGGAGCAAACAGGAUUAGAUACCCCUGUAGUCCCUGUCUCUUAUAU